GAAAGAGCAGUUGAAUGGGUGAGGCUGCCGAAAAAGAGAGCUUCUGGCUGACCAUUUUGAGUUCCUUAAAAAAGGAAUAUAAUUUAGAAAAAAAUGCACGUAUCUUAACUUUACAGCUCCAUUGUUCUUCACCUGUCUACACACCUGUGAAAUCACCACCUGAUGAAUUGUAGGCGACUGUCAGGACUGCAGCGGGCUCCCUCCAGCCCCUUCCCAUACAGUGUCCCCCACUCCCGUACAGACACAGGACGCCACCCUUCCGGAUUCCAUCAACAGCCUCUCUCCAGCAGCUUCUGUGCCCUCCCAACUGCGUGAGGCCGCAGCCCCCACAGCCUCCUGAGGUUCAGGAAGCUGCCCUUCGGGGCCUGGCUUCACCCAGGCUGUGCUGCCCCUACAGGAGAGGCUGUCGGGACAGGGGAGCAGCCCAGCCGGCUUCCCCGGGUGAGCAGAGUGGAGGGCCCAGCCCUGGGGCACAAGGAGGCUCCCCGGGGACUGUAACCUGGCCUCCUGCAGGUCCCGGGGGAGAAUAGCACCGGAGGUAAUCACACCUCCCAGCUUUUCAUCUCAGCAUCUUCAAAGCACCCAUGAUGAAGGGGCGGCCCCUUUGAAGUUGUACCCAGUCACUGUAGCUCCGAGGCUGGCACGGCCCAGCCUCUUGCUUUCUCCUCUCCUCCCUCUCAUCAAAGCCUCUCUGAGGAAACCCUGGACCCUGCCUCCCUAGCUCCCCACCUGCAGUGAACCUCUCUUUCCCAAUGGCAGCCCUCCAGGGUAGCUGGCCGCAGCCUGGGAUUUUGUAGAGAAUCUGACCCAUGUUCCUAGGAACUCCAAGGAAACUGGCAGUAAAUCCUUCUCUUUGGCCUGCUUUCA
Long non-coding RNA from Panthera uncia (snow leopard), 867 nucleotides. RefSeq lists it as uncharacterized. The transcript is spliced from 2 exons. The record is from RefSeq and is a predicted model, not a curated record. Lineage: Eukaryota; Metazoa; Chordata; Mammalia; Carnivora; Felidae.